GAUAGCUAGUUGAUAGCUACCAACACAAAUAUUGCUGGCCCCUAGUAUAUAUUGUAUUGUCAUACGUUGUGCAAUAGUAAGUUAAAGUCUCUUUUGUACUAGGUAAAAAUAAAAAAUACCAAAAUGUUUCAACAAAAUAACAGCAACAUAACAUAAUAAUAUAUAUUCCGAAGUAGUGUUCUUUACAUUAUGUAAUUGUUUUGCACACUAAAGAAAUAAUAAAGACUGUAUUAAGAUUGAGAAAUAAAAACACAAAAGCUCAACCAUUUGAAGGAUUUAUACUGCAUAUUCAAUUCCCUGGAGACAUAGAAAAAUGAAUAAGAAAACAUAACUUUGAUGCGAAAAUAAAUUCUGCAAGCAGCAGCGUACAUUAUAGAUAUUUGUAUUAGGAUGGAGAAGGAAAAACUUCCAAGAAGGGAAAAACAAACUAUAUAAGAUUAUCAGCAAUCAAAUGCUAUCACUACACCACUGGCUGCCCUUUAGUGGUUGUUUUUAACUGCCGCUGAAUGGUUUGAUUGCGGCGGUUUCAACAACUGUUUAGGUGGUGUAGCUAGAUCAAACAUUUUAUCAGCAAUUCAAAGGCCAUCUCCCGCUAAAUCCAAAACAUAGGAAUUAAAAUAUAAUAAUAUAAGAUGCAGUUUAUCUCUUUGGCACAAUUAGAUGACAUAAGGCUCGCAGUUGAGGCCUAGAUCAAAUGGUAAACUUAGUUGCCUCUUAAGAACUAUACCACGUUGAAAUCCUAGUUAGAACUGGGAUUAAGUAUAAGGACCUUGUGGAUGUGUGAGUCGUGUAAUGACAAAAAACAAAAGAUGAGGUAAGGCCCAAAAUCCGGGCCACUUGCUCCCGCCGCCUUCCAACAACCUUGCUGCCGUGUUGACGUGUGCCUCUCUUUGGUCAUGUUGCCCAGCUCUUCUUGAUGUCACCUUUUGGUCUGCUUCCUCAUCCCUCGCGCCUUUUCUCUUUUUAUGAUAGUAGCUACAUGAUCAAGAAAAUGAUCUUGAUAAGGAUAGACAAAGUCUAGAAGAAUUGUACACUUUUGAAGUUUUGAUACAAGAACUAAUAAAGGACAACACCGACGUAGAAUGCAAAGUUACUCCACAUGCAAAUGUUACAAUAGAACCACUAAAAUGCAUUAUUUCAACUGAAAGAAGGCAAACUCGAACAAAAGAAAAAACUAUAGUGGAGGGAAAAGAAUUUUAGAUAUUUAAAGUGUUCUGUUUAGUUAAGUCCAGUUUAAUUUCAAUUAACUUAAUUUUCUAUCACUUAUUUAACGUAGAUAUGUUUGUAUAUGUAAGUCAUAGUUCCCAAGUGAAGUCAUUGUAUAUACUUAUUUUGUAUAUAAUAGAUUUUGAAAUUGUCUCCCUUGCAUAAUCUAUUUUGAGAUUAAUA
This is a long non-coding RNA of Arachis duranensis, 1389 nucleotides long. RefSeq lists it as uncharacterized. NCBI's taxonomy places the organism in Eukaryota, Viridiplantae, Streptophyta, Magnoliopsida, Fabales, Fabaceae. The transcript has 3 exons. The record is from RefSeq and is a predicted model, not a curated record.